UAAAGGGCGCGCAGGCGGUCUGGUAAGUCGGUCUUAAAAGUGCGGGGCUUAACCCCGUGAGGGGACCGAAACUGCCAGACUAGAGUAUCGGAGAGGAAAGCGGAAUUCCUAGUGUAGCGGUGAAAUGCGUAGAUAUUAGGAGGAACACCAGUGGCGAAAGCGGCUUUCUGGACGACAACUGACGCUGAGGCGCGAAAGCCAGGGGAGCAAACGGGAUUAGAUACCCCGGUAGUCCUGGCCGUAAACGAUGGAUACUAGGUGUAGGAGGUAUCGACCCCUUCUGUGCCGGAGUUAACGCAAUAAGUAUCCCGCCUGGGGAGUACGGCCGCAAGGCUGAAACUCAAAGGAAUUGACGGGGGCCCGCACAAGCGGUGGAGUAUGUGGUUUAAUUCGACGCAACGCGAAGAACCUUACCAAGCCUUGACAUUGAUUGCUAGGGAAAGAGAUUUCCCGUUCUUCUUCGGAAGACAUGAAAACAGGUGGUGCACGGCUGUCGUCAGCUCGUGUCGUGAGAUGCUGGGUUAAGUCCCGCAACGAGCGCAACCCCUAUCUUCUGUUACCAGCGGUUCGGCCGGGGACUCAGGAGAGACUGCCGCAGACAAUGCGGAGGAAGGCGGGGAUGACGUCAAGUCAUCAUGCCCCUUAUGGCUUGGGCUACACACGUACUACAAUGGCUCUUAAUAGAGGGACGCGAAGGAACGAUCCGGAGCAAACCCCAAAAACAGAGUCCCAGUUCGGAUUGCAGGCUGCAACCCGCCUGCAUGAAGCAGGAAUCGCUAGUAAUCGCAGGUCAGCAUACUGCGGUGAA
Molecule: ribosomal RNA, 808 nt
Filed under: uncultured Bacillota bacterium
Lineage: Bacteria; Bacillati; Bacillota
Description: bacterial SSU rRNA
Rfam family: Bacterial small subunit ribosomal RNA
Source: RNAcentral